Molecule: transfer RNA, 72 nt
Filed under: Hapsidospora chrysogena
Lineage: Eukaryota; Fungi; Ascomycota; Sordariomycetes; Hypocreales; Bionectriaceae
Also listed under: 1 other name
Description: Acremonium chrysogenum tRNA-Met
Rfam family: tRNA
About the family: Transfer RNA (tRNA) molecules are approximately 80 nucleotides in length. Their secondary structure includes four short double-helical elements and three loops (D, anti-codon, and T loops).
Source: RNAcentral
AGCAGGUUAAUGUAAUAGUAACAUAUUCGGCUCAUGUCCGAAAAAGUAUUGGUGCAAAUCCAAUAUCUGCAU